ACUUUUAAAGGAUAACAG
This 18-nucleotide transfer RNA is filed under the name Elliotomyia chionogaster. Its description in RNAcentral is "tRNA-Leu". The record is from RNAcentral. Lineage: Eukaryota; Metazoa; Chordata; Aves; Apodiformes; Trochilidae.